CAGAAUAAAAAGGGGAGAUAAAGCGUAAGGAGCAGGACAAGACAUCUGAGGAAAGACGAGAGAGACGAGAGGAUAUACAGCAUCAGCGAGGGACAUCUGCGAUAAGUACGAGGGAGAAAGACUAUAAUACUGUCUGAUACGGGAUCAGAUACCAGUCCAUCUCAGGCUAUUUAUCGUGGGACUUCUAUUUCUUGUGGGGGAAUCGCAAAGCCCAAAAGGCGAUCGUGUUCGGUCGCAAUAUCCCGCUGUUGUGGACUAAUCUAGACGGACCUUCUUCAAACGACAUUUUCCUGCAGGCCAUGGCUGUGGACUCUCGCCCCCACGCUAGAGCGACUGUGACGGCCCGGUCUGUUUUAAUGUGAUCCAGUCUUUGGGAAUUCUACGCAUCGGAACGCUCCUUGAGGAUUUAAGAGACGUGUUUAACGCAGGUGCAACCCUACUGUUUUCUGAAGACGCACAAGAUAUAAAGACACUGCGGAGAGGAGCGGUUUAUUGUGAAGAAGUCAGAAUCUCCACCAUGGCUACGAGGAAGAGUGCUUCUCGAUGUGGUGAGUAACAGGGGGUUUUAUACUACAACCACGGCGUUUUCUUGAUUAAAGUCUUUUAUUUCUU
RNAcentral lists this long non-coding RNA (612 nucleotides) under Astyanax mexicanus (Mexican tetra). Its description in RNAcentral is "lncRNA (ENSAMXG00005006966.1)". Lineage: Eukaryota; Metazoa; Chordata; Actinopteri; Characiformes; Acestrorhamphidae. The record is from RNAcentral.